This 503-nucleotide ribosomal RNA is filed under the name uncultured Glomeromycotina. RNAcentral's name for it is "partial small subunit ribosomal RNA". It matches the Rfam family "Eukaryotic small subunit ribosomal RNA", at positions 591 to 1092 of the family's 1831-position model. The record is from RNAcentral. Lineage: Eukaryota; Fungi; Glomeromycota.
CCAAUAGCGUAUAUUAAAGUUGUUGCAGUUAAAAAGCUCGUAGUCGAAUUUCGGGGUUCAUCCGUUGGUCGGGCUUUUUUGGUCUGUACUGGCGUGAUGGAUUCCUACCUUCUGAAUAACCAGCAUGUCAUUAAUUUGGUGCGCUGGGGAAGCAGGACUGUUACCUUGAAAAAAUUAGAGUGCUUAAAGCAGGCUAUCGCCUGAAUACAUUAGCAUGGAAUAAUGAAAUAGGACGGCAUGGUUCUAUUUUGUUGGUUUCUAGGAUCACCGUAAUGAUUAAUAGGUAUAGUUUGGGGCAUUAGUAUUCAAUUGUCAGAGGUGAAAUUCUUGGAUUUAUUGAAGACUAACUUCUGCGAAAGCAUUUGCCAAGGAUGUUUUCAUUAAUCAAGAACGAAAGUUAGGGGAUCGAAGACGAUCAGAUACCGUCGUAGUCUUAACCAUAAACUAUGCCGACUAGGGAUCGGACGAUGUUAAUUUUUUAAUGACUCGUUCGGCGCCUUACG